This 314-nucleotide unclassified non-coding RNA is filed under the name Hevea brasiliensis (rubber tree). The record is from RNAcentral. Lineage: Eukaryota; Viridiplantae; Streptophyta; Magnoliopsida; Malpighiales; Euphorbiaceae.
AAUUUGAAGAACUCCCAGCAUUGCAGCAAACACUGGCUUUGCAACGUAUGGCACUGUUUACCAGGGUUGAACCUGCUCAUAAAAGGAUGCUAGUGGAGGCCUUACAGAACCAAAAUGAAGUGGUGGCAAUGACUGGUGAUGGUGUUAAUGAUGCACCAGCCCUAAAGAAAGCAGAUAUAGGAAUUGCCAUGGGGUCUGGAGCAGCAGUUGCAAAGAGUGCUUCUGAUAUGGUUUUGGCUGAUGAUAAUUUUGCUUCUAUUGUUGCGGCUGUUGCGGAGGGAAGGGCUAUAUACAAUAACACAAAGCAAUUCAUC